RNAcentral lists this unclassified non-coding RNA (1169 nucleotides) under Dimorphilus gyrociliatus. RNAcentral describes it as "profilin". The record is from RNAcentral. Lineage: Eukaryota; Metazoa; Annelida; Polychaeta; Dinophilidae.
GACAGUCUGUAUUAGUCAUUUGCGAAAGGAAUACUUUAUUGUAGGUUGUGUCUAGGUGCGGUAUGUAAGUAUUUAACAAUUUCUCCCUUACUUUUUAUAUAAGAAUUAGAAAUGUGUAGAUCAUGCUUAACAUUAAAUGUAUAAUUAAUGUUCCUUAUGAAUAUUUAGUCCUUAGAGAAUGUAAUUGUUUUAGCUUGUAAGAAAAUCAAUGAUAUCAAUAAUUUAGUUGGAAAAGUAUUAGAAUAAUAAAACACGUUUGAACAUAUCAAUAUAUUUGAGUACCAUUUUGAACUGCUCAUUUGUUCUUUUCAAUAUCUUUUUCGCAGUGAAAUUCAGUUAUGUCUUGGAAUAGCUAUAUAGACAAUUUAAUUGCCCAUUCCAAAGAUGCUAGCGGAAAAUGUCAUGUUGAAAGUGCAUGUAUAAUUAGCAUAGAUGGAGGUACACAAUGGACGACUGCAGGGGCAAAUGUUACACCAAUCACCCCAAAUGAGGCCGCUGAAAUUGCAAAACCUUUUAAAAGCUGUGAUUUUACUUCAUUUAUGGUCGGUGGCUGUACGAUUUCAUCUACCAGAUAUCAAUUUCUGAGAGAAAUGGAUAAAAAAAUUUGUCUCUUCAAACUGAAAGAUCAUGGAUCAAUCUCUAUGCAGAGCAGCAAAACAGCCAUUGUAAUAGCCAAGUGCCCAGAAGGAGGACAGCAAGGAAAUGCUAAUAAAGCUGUUGCAGUUAUCGCCGAAUAUUUAGAAUCUCUAAAUAUGUAAAACAAUAUGAUAUCAAUAAAAUUAUCUAUUAUAAUUUAUAUAGUUUGUCUUCCAUCAUUAUAAUAUCAUUGUAUAUAGUUCUCUACAUCCAUUUUUACAUCUUAUGAACGAUGAUAAAGACAGGAAAAGAAUUUUUGACUAUGUACUUUAUGGGUGUUUUACAUCAUCAAUAAAUGUAAUUCAUUAUUUGAACCAGAAGAACGUUAGCUAUUUCAUCACUUUUUUCCCUAGAAUUUGUGAUUAUCAAAGGGGUUAAAGUAAUACCUGUGGAAUUAUUACAAAGAAAAUAUAUAAUCUGAAUCACUUAUACAUUGUUGCAAUGUUUAAACAUUCAAUUGCGAAAAGAUUAGUUUUAUAUUCAAUAAAAGGACUUAAUUUAUGUCUUGAGUUUCGUCUCAUUUUUAUCUUUAU